Long non-coding RNA from Fukomys damarensis (Damara mole-rat), 269 nucleotides. RefSeq lists it as uncharacterized. The transcript has 3 exons. Lineage: Eukaryota; Metazoa; Chordata; Mammalia; Rodentia; Bathyergidae. The record is from RefSeq and is a predicted model, not a curated record.
AGUGAAGAGAGUCACUGCAAUAAAGAUGCAGUAAACUACAACAGCUGGUGUGUUGUUUGGUUCAGCACUACCUAUCACAACCCAGACUUGCUGUGGGCUUUUAUAACUUGUGGAGAUAGAAAAGUAUGGACAAAAAGACGAACAAGUCAAGGACCUUUUCCCUGUUAAGCUCACAGUUUACAGGAAUUCAACCUCCUCAAUGAAGGAUGUACAUUUUCAAUAAUAUGAUCCCACUGAGACAUCUCUGCUGGAGGGGGCAGUUAAAUGUA